Molecule: ribosomal RNA, 506 nt
Filed under: uncultured bacterium
Lineage: Bacteria
Description: partial 16S ribosomal RNA
Rfam family: Bacterial small subunit ribosomal RNA
Source: RNAcentral
GAUGAACGCUAGCGGCGUGCCUAAUACAUGCAAGUCGAACGGAACUUCUUUAUCCCCUAGUGCUUGCACUCACCGAUAAAGGGUUGUGUGACGAACGGAUGCGUCACACGACAGCAACCUAGCCACAAGAAAGGGGUAACAAUUCUCCACAAGACCUAGUACCGCAUAACCAUAAUGACUACACGGUAACGGUUCAAAAAGUGGCAAUCGUACGACUUUCUGAUGGGCGUGCGGAGGAUUAGCUAGUUGGCAGGGUAAAGGCGCACCAAGGCGGUGAUCAAUAGGGGUUCUGAGAGGAAGGUCCCCCACACUGGCACUGGGAUACGGGCCAGACUCCUACGGGAGGCAGCAGUAGGGAAUAUUGGACAAUGGUUGCAAGACUGAUCCAGCCAUGCCGCGUGCAGGAAGAAGGCCUUCUGGGUCGUAAACUGCUUUUUCCUGUGGAUAAAAUACCCGUGCGCGGGGAAUUGAAGGUAACAGGGGAAUAAGCCACGGCUAACUACGUG